This 311-nucleotide ribosomal RNA is filed under the name uncultured eukaryote. RNAcentral's name for it is "partial 18S ribosomal RNA". It matches the Rfam family "Eukaryotic small subunit ribosomal RNA", at positions 1470 to 1796 of the family's 1831-position model. The record is from RNAcentral.
CCCCUAGAUGUCCUGGGCCGCACGCGCGCUACACUGAACGGAUCAGCGCGUUUUCCCUUCCCGAGAGGGACGGGUAACCUGCUGAACCCCGUUCGUGGUAGGGAUCGGGGCUUGCAAUUAUUCCCCGUGAACCAGGAAUGCCCAGUAAGUGCAAGUCAUAAGCUUGCGUUGAUUACGUCCCUGCCCUUUGUACACACCGCCCGUCGCUCCUACCGAUGAAUCGUCCGGUGAAGUUCAUGGAGUCGCGGCUGCUCCAGCCGUUUUCGAAGUGAAAUGGACCUCAUGAUUUAGAGGAAGGAGAAGUCGUAACA